This 75-nucleotide transfer RNA is filed under the name Rugosimonospora africana. RNAcentral's name for it is "tRNA-Arg". It matches the Rfam family "tRNA". From Rfam's summary of the family: Transfer RNA (tRNA) molecules are approximately 80 nucleotides in length. Their secondary structure includes four short double-helical elements and three loops (D, anti-codon, and T loops). Further hydrogen bonds mediate the characteristic L-shaped molecular structure. tRNAs have two regions of fundamental functional importance: the anti-codon, which is responsible for specific mRNA codon recognition, and the 3' end, to which the tRNAs corresponding amino acid is attached (by aminoacyl-tRNA synthetases). tRNAs cope with the degeneracy of the genetic code in two manners: having more than one tRNA (with a specific anti-codon) for a particular amino acid; and 'wobble' base-pairing, i.e. permitting non-standard base-pairing at the 3rd anti-codon position. Lineage: Bacteria; Bacillati; Actinomycetota; Actinomycetes; Micromonosporales; Micromonosporaceae. The record is from RNAcentral.
CUCCUGCUAGCUCAAUGGAUAGAGCAGCGCUUUCCUAGGGCGUGGAUCGGGGUUCGAAUCCUCGGCGGGAGGCCA